UACGUAGGGUGCAAGCGUUGUCCGGAAUUAUUGGGCGUAAAGGGCGCGUAGGCGGCCCGGUAAGUCAAAGGUGAAAUCCCUCGGCUCAACUGAGGAACUGCCUUUGAAACUGUCGGGCUUGAGGCCGGGAGGGGGUAGCGGAAUUCCCAGUGUAGCGGUGAAAUGCGUAGAUAUUGGGAGGAACACCGGUGGCGAAGGCGGCUACCUGGACCGGUUCUGACGCUGAUGCGCGAAAGCGUGGGUAGCAAACAGG
RNAcentral lists this ribosomal RNA (253 nucleotides) under uncultured bacterium. RNAcentral describes it as "partial 16S ribosomal RNA". It matches the Rfam family "Bacterial small subunit ribosomal RNA", at positions 524 to 776 of the family's 1533-position model. The record is from RNAcentral.